UUUUUAUAUCUUGGGCUCAUAUUUUUCUGAAGUUGAAUUUUCUUGCUGAUAUUUUAGUUGCUUUGGUCACAUUAUUCAUGAUGCUAUAUUUGGAUAGGUCUUUAUUCACUAUUACUAUAAAUAUUUUUUAUUCGAUUGUGCUAGAUGCAGUUGUGACUGAAGGUUUUUCUCAUUGAAUAAAUUUAGAAACGAUUUUAUUCACACACUUAUUUUUAAAUGUAACACCUUAUUUU
Molecule: long non-coding RNA, 233 nt
Filed under: Malus domestica (apple)
Lineage: Eukaryota; Viridiplantae; Streptophyta; Magnoliopsida; Rosales; Rosaceae
Description: long non-coding RNA (MDOM_LNC010017)
Source: RNAcentral